GAAAUGCGAUACGUAAUGCGAAUUGCAGAAUUCAGUGAAUCAUCAAAUCUUUGAACGCAAAUUGCGCUCUCGGGUAUCCCUGGGAGCACGCCUCUUUGAGUAUCGGUUCUACCUCAUCUCGACAGCGUAUUUAUAUGUGUAGUCGGAAAAUGAGUGUCUCAGUUUCUGACUGAGUCGCUUUAAGAACAGAGAAGAACCUGGACCAUCCCACUCUAAAUUGGGGGAUGACGCAAGAUAAUUCACUCUGCGUGAGUGUUUAAAACCUUCGUCUCCUCUGAGGGAUGUGAUCCGGUUUUGAUCCAGGAAUUUUUUUUGGUUUAUUUAUAAAUCGAAAGAAACCCUUUUCAGAAUAAGAUCUCAGAUGAAGCGAGAAUACCCGCCGAAUUUAA
Molecule: unclassified non-coding RNA, 389 nt
Filed under: uncultured fungus
Lineage: Eukaryota; Fungi
Description: sequence contains ITS1
Rfam family: 5.8S ribosomal RNA (bases 1-105)
Source: RNAcentral